Molecule: long non-coding RNA, 292 nt
Filed under: Physcomitrium patens
Lineage: Eukaryota; Viridiplantae; Streptophyta; Bryopsida; Funariales; Funariaceae
Description: long non-coding RNA (PPAT_LNC000746)
Source: RNAcentral
AUCUACUACAAAUUUCAUUGAUAACUGAGGAUAUUUUAAUGUUGGCUAAGACUUAUAUGUAUACUUCUAGAAAAAGAGCUAUCAAUCUGCAUAAGGAGUUUGGUAGUAUUGGAGCAGGUCAUAGAAGACUCCAUCCAAUUUGCUAGAUAAUAUUUUCAAAGUAGAUGACUUAGAUUAGAUGGAAAAUUAUAUAAGGAUGAAAUUAGAUUUAGGAUUGAAUUAGGCUAAUUUAGAUAAAGAAUUGAAGUUGAAAAGAAAAUUUUAAAUUGCAUGAAAAUUAUUUAGAUGAAUU